This 496-nucleotide ribosomal RNA is filed under the name uncultured bacterium. RNAcentral describes it as "partial 16S ribosomal RNA". It matches the Rfam family "Bacterial small subunit ribosomal RNA", at positions 28 to 523 of the family's 1533-position model. The record is from RNAcentral.
GACGAACGCUAGCGGCGUGCUUUAAGCAUGCAAGUAGAACGAGACUAGUAGUAAUACUAGUCGAGUGGCGAACGGGUGAGUAAUACAUCGGAACGUGCCUAGUAGUGGGGGAUAACUACUCGAAAGAGUGGCUAAUACCGCAUGAGAUCUACGGAUGAAAGCAGGGGAUCGCAAGAACUUGUGCUACUAGAGCGGCCGAUGGCAGAUUAGGUAGUUGGUGGGAUAAAAGCUUACCAAGCCGACGAUCUGUAGCUGGUCUGAGAGGACGAUCAGCCACACUGGGACUGAGACACGGCCCAGACUCCUACGGGAGGCAGCAGUGGGGAAUUUUGGACAAUGGGCGAAAGCCUGAUCCAGCAAUGCCGCGUGCAGGAUGAAGGCCUUCGGGUUGUAAACUGCUUUUGUACGGAACGAAAAGCCCCGGGUUAAUACCCUGGGGUCAUGACGGUACCGUAAGAAUAAGCACCGGCUAACUACGUGCCAGCCGCCGCGGUAA